Molecule: microRNA precursor, 97 nt
Filed under: Marmota monax (woodchuck)
Lineage: Eukaryota; Metazoa; Chordata; Mammalia; Rodentia; Sciuridae
Source: RNAcentral
AGUGGGAUAGCUGGGUCAAAUGGUUGUUCUAGUUUUUGAAGGAAUCUCCAUACUGCUUUCCAUAUUGUCUGCAUCAUUUUGCAGUUCCACCACCAAU